UGCAGGUGAAACAAACAGCCAUGUUGCUCACACAAAGCCUGUUUGGUGGUCUCUUCUCACGGACACACAUGAAAUUUGGUGCCAUGACUCGGAUUGGGGGACCUCCCUUGGGAGAUCAAUCCCCUGUCCUCCUGCUCUUUGCUCCGUGAGAAAGAUCCACCUAUGACCUCAGGUCCUCAGACCAACCAGCCCAAGAAACAUCUCACCAAUUUCAAAUCUGUGCCGCUUGACCCCAAUACAAACUCGACAGUAGUUCCAAAUAGCCGGAAAACGGCAUUUUCAAUUUUUCCAUCCUAUAAGAUCUAAAUAAUUCUUGUCGUAAAAUGGGCAAAUGGUCUGAGGUGCCUGACGUCCAGGCAUUCUUUUACACACGAGUCCCUCUCUAGUCUCUGUUCCCAAUGCAACUCGUCCCAAAUCUUCCUCCUUUCCCGCCCGCCUGUCCCCUCAGUCCCAACCCCAAGCGUCGCUGAGUCUUUCUAAUCUUCCUUUUCUACAGACCCAUCUGACCUCUCCCCUCCUCCCCAGGCUGCUCCUCGUCAGGCCGAGCUAGGUCCGAAUUCUUCCUCAGCCUCCGCUCCUCCACCCUAUAGUCCUUUUAUCACCUCCCCUCCUCACACCAGGUCCAGCUUACAGUUUCGUUCCGUGACUAGCCCUCCCCUACCUGCCCAGCAAUUUACUCUUAAAAAGGUGGCUGGAGCUAAAGGCAUAGUCAAGGUUAAUGCUCCUUUUUCUUUAUCCCAAAUCAGAUAGCAUUUAGGCUGUUUUUCAUCAAAUAUAAAAAUCCAACCCAGUUCAUGACUCGUUUGGCAGCAACCCUGAGACACUUUACAGCCCUAGACCCUAAAAGGUCAAAAGGCCAUCUUAUUCUCAAAAUACAUUUUAUUACCCAAUCUG
Molecule: non-coding RNA, 894 nt
Filed under: Pongo abelii (Sumatran orangutan)
Lineage: Eukaryota; Metazoa; Chordata; Mammalia; Primates; Hominidae
Source: RNAcentral